CUGGUAUGGAUAAAUAUAGUACAAAACAAAGCCUCAACCACUUUCCUAUAUCUUGUGCUAUAUAUUACCAUACGUUUGACGGAUAGUUCAAGCAUCAAUAUUAUGGUAUAUCUGGAGGUGGAGGCAAUAUCUUAGCAUCUGAGCUCUUGCCAUUUUUAACAACGAACAGUUGUGCGGAGAUAUGAAAAUUUCGAGAAAUGGCUCUACAACAAUACAAUUCGAGCCAAAUAAGGUACAUGGCGUUUUUAGUAAAUUUGUUUAUCUUAUGUCCUGUCACUUAUGGACAAACUUAAAGAUGUAAAUUUUGUAUGUUGUAGGGGUUUGGACUAUGAAUUGUCAUUUUGAGCGUCACAAAUCUUGCGGACAGGGAAUCAUUUUCAUUGUUAAAAAUGACAAGAUCUCAUAUGCUAAAAUGUUGCCUCCGCUUCAAGAUAUGCCUUGGUGUUGAUACUGGACCAACAAUCAAAUCUAGUCUAUGGGAGAUGUUGGAAAUUAUUCGAAGAUCUCAUUUAAUUUGUUAUCUAUUUAAAUUUAUUAUUUAUGGACAUUUUAGUUUGUAAGAUCACCUUAUAGAAGUUCAUUUGUUGAAUAGCUAGCCUUUUCCCAUAAAUUAAUGUGUGCAAUUUUUUUUUUAGUAAAUUAGAUAGCUAAUCAAACAAAUUCAGAUUAACUACGGCAAAGACGAAGCUUCAUAUAUAGGACCUUAAAAAUACCCUCCAAUCAUUAUCCAUCAUAUGGUAGGGUCCUAUAGUAAGGAUUAUAACAGUCUUCAGCUUGUUCGACGAAGCCCAACAAAAGACUUGUAAUAAACAAAAAUGACAACACUACUUGUACAUAUUUUUUAGUACAUUGAGGUAUCCAUACACUCACAUGAGGUGGAGCCCGCUCGAAUAUUUAUUCGAG
Molecule: long non-coding RNA, 903 nt
Filed under: Olea europaea subsp. europaea
Lineage: Eukaryota; Viridiplantae; Streptophyta; Magnoliopsida; Lamiales; Oleaceae
Source: RNAcentral